RNAcentral lists this ribosomal RNA (397 nucleotides) under uncultured bacterium. RNAcentral's name for it is "partial 16S ribosomal RNA". It matches the Rfam family "Bacterial small subunit ribosomal RNA", at positions 523 to 918 of the family's 1533-position model. The record is from RNAcentral.
AUACGUAGGGGGCGAGCGUUGUCCGGAAUGACUGGGCGUAAAGGGCGUGUAGGCGGCCGAUUAAGUCUGGAGUGAAAGUCCUGCUUUCAAGGUGGGAAUUGCUUUGGAGACUGGUUGGCUUGAGUGCGGAAGAGGUAAGUGGAAUUCCCAGUGUAGCGGUGAAAUGCGUAGAGAUUGGGAGGAACACCAGUGGCGAAGGCGGCUGACUGGGCCGAAACUGACGCUGAGGCGCGAAAGCGUGGGGAGCGAACAGGAUUAGAUACCCUGGUAGUCCACGCGGUAAACGAGGAAUGCUAGGUGUAGGUGGUAUCGACCCCUCCUGUGCCGGAGUGAACACAAUAAGCAUUCCGCCUGGGGAGUACGGCCGCAAGGUUGAAACUCAAAUGAAUUGACGGGG